This 496-nucleotide ribosomal RNA is filed under the name uncultured bacterium. RNAcentral's name for it is "partial 16S ribosomal RNA". It matches the Rfam family "Bacterial small subunit ribosomal RNA", at positions 29 to 507 of the family's 1533-position model. The record is from RNAcentral.
AUGAACGCUGGCGGCGUGCCUAAUACAUGCCAGUCGCGCGAACAGACGAGGAGCUUGCUCCUCUGACGUUAGCGGCGGACGGGUGAGUAACACGUGGAUAACCUACCUAUAAGACUGGGAUAACUUCGGGAAACCGGAGCUAAUACCGGAUAAUAUAUUGAACCGCAUGGUUCAAUAGUGAAAGACGGUUUUGCUGUCACUUAUAGAUGGAUCCGCGCCGCAUUAGCUAGUUGGUAAGGUAACGGCUUACCAAGGCAACGAUGCGUAGCCGACCUGAGAGGGUGAUCGGCCACACUGGAACUGAGACACGGUCCAGACUCCUACGGGAGGCAGCAGUAGGGAAUCUUCCGCAAUGGGCGAAAGCCUGACGGAGCAACGCCGCGUGAGUGAUGAAGGUCUUCGGAUCGUAAAACUCUGUUAUUAGGGAAGAACAAAUGUGUAAGUAACUACGCACGUCUUGACGGUACCUAAUCAGAAAGCCACGGCUAACUACGUG